Molecule: long non-coding RNA, 4801 nt
Organism: Neopelma chrysocephalum (saffron-crested tyrant-manakin)
Lineage: Eukaryota; Metazoa; Chordata; Aves; Passeriformes; Pipridae
Exons: 6
Source: RefSeq, a predicted model, not a curated record
CAGAAUUCACAGUGGUUAGUAUAAAAACCUGGCAAAGACCCUUGUGCUGUGACAGAGCUCUGCAUCAUGUAGCACCAGGCACCCUGUUUGCUGGAGAGACCUGAGCUCCACUGUGCAAUGGAGACAACACUUCAGGCUCCAUUCUUGGAGCAGGAGGGCUGCUAGGAUAUAAAUUUUUUCUCUUUGCCUACAAAGCAGGCAGGAGGAAAUUGGUCUGAUCUAGCAGCAGGAGCUGGUACUUUCUUGAGCUGAACAGCUCAGUGUGUGUGGAAGGGGGUUAGACAGACCUGCUUCACUGACUGGUGGACUCCCAGGCUGAAGCUGUGAGAUAAGUGCAUGCUGCUCUUCUCUGGUGAAAUGAUUUGCUGACCUCAAAGUCUGGGAAGACUUCUAACAGUGCAUAGAUCAUCUUGAAGACCGAAAAUUUGAGAAAACUUACCCUCAUGUGAAAAAAAAAAAAGGGUCCAGAUCUUUAGCACACUUGGAAGAAAGAAGGGUUUAUUCAGAUGUUUGAACUGUCUGCUGCUGCUGCCUAGUGCUCAGAACAUCACAGUUGAUCCUCUGGCACUAGAAAAGCAUCAGCUAGGAGCCCAGUCACCACAGUUUACUACUGAGUGCCAGGACAUUAUAUUUGCUCUGGUGACUAUUCCUCCCAGUGCAGUCACAUGUCACUGCUACCCUGUCUGUCCAGGAAGCAGAAAAGUGAAACUCGUGCUUGGCACUUCCAUAGGGGUCUCUGAGCGCUAGGAGACAAAGAUGAAAACCAGCUGAUAGGACACAGGCAACCAUUACAGAGGAAAUAUUGGAUGUCAGAAGAGGGGCGGGAAGCAAUGCCAAGGUCCAGAACACCUUUGGAUGCUGCAACCACCUGAAACCUCCUGAAAUCGCUCACCACCGCUCAAACCACUUUUAAUAAACAGGUAACUAAAAUUCAAGCACUUCCUUUAUAAAGCCUUUUGGUUUCAGGAAAGUGAGUCACUGUCUGACAGUUUGGUGGGAGGUUAUUCAUCCGGGAUUGCUUCACUCCUUCGUGGAGAUGCUUGGUGAGCCGCUCUGCACGCUGGCGGGCUGCUUCAGCCAGGGAUGUACUCCUACAAGUGCCACCUGCUCUGUUAUAAUCCUUGCCUCGCUGAAGUCGCCAGCAUCUUUCUGCUUGAUCUGCAGGGUAGCUCCUUCGUGUUGAAUUUGGCUGCUCUUUUAGGAGAGUAACAGUUUGAGGAGCUGUUUGGCUCAGUAGCACUUGGCAACCUUGGGAAGCGAAUGCAUUCAGCUGGGCAGUGGGCACACGUACGUUUGAGGGGGGCUGCUGUGUGCCCCAUCCUGCAGCGUUAGUUCACAGCGUGCCUGUGCCUCGGAGGCACUCGCUGUGCAGCUGACACAGCCCUCAGGCGUCAGGCAGCUGGGGAAAUUGCCACAGAAGCUUUAGCAAGAAAACACAUAAUAGCCAAAGUCGAAGGGUGAAUUGAGAUAUAAUGGGGGAGGCAGCUAUUAUGUUCUAGCUCUCUUUAAAAACCAUUCUGAGACGUGUAAGGUAUUGUGUUGUGUUUGUUGCUGGAUUUAAGACUGCUGACUGCCAGGCGGUGAAGGUCACUUUGUGCUUCCUUCUUUAAGGCAAGUUGCUGCUGUUUAUAUUAACAAGGGAGCAGCAGUGCUGGCUAACUCCUGGCAUGUUAACCUGCCUCUCUCCCGGGGAGCAGGUCUCCACUGCGCUCCCUCAGGACCUGUAUAGUUGGAGAGCUGUAUAUCAUGUAGGUGUCAAGCCCAAUCAGAGCUUCCUUGUCAGGAUGUGUUAAGGCAGCUGCCUGCAAUUUGUGUUACGGUGUGCAUCUCUGCCAAUAAACUACUUUUGGUCUCCCUUGUGCUGCGUCUGCCGUCUGCAGGGCUGCUGGGAGAGCUGCCAGAGAGAGAGAGAGCAACUGCAGGCACAAAGGUGGCUGGGUGGCACCUCUUGUAAUCUGUGUUCUGCAUGAUGUAUUGAUUGACUUUGUGGAUGGAUCCCAGGGGCUGAACAUAAACAGCAUGUACCAGAGCAUGACAUUUUAAUCAGAGACAGGUUUAACUACUGGGAGCAGCUCGGGUAAUGUCUACUUUAAAAAAAAAUUAAAGAAAGAAAAUUGCACCAAAAAAACCCCAAAAACGGUGUAUGCUGGUUAUUGCUUAGGAACUCUGUGUAGUUGUGCAGUUACACAUGAGAUACAAAUGAGUAGGUUGUGACAGGACCAAGAGCACUUUGAAGUACAGCUGCAGUAAGUGUAAAUUGGGGAUACAAGUUAAGACACUGAAAUAAGCUUUUUGCAUGUGCAUGUGCAGACACCAGGGCUAAGCAGCAGAUCCUGGUCAGUGCAGCACCAUUCCUGCCAGCCAGCUGUAAAAUCACUUGGCUCAGGGGAUAAAAAGGUGUUCAUGCUGCAGGAGGUUGGGUUGGCAGGGAACUAGAGAGAUUUAAAAGAAGGUGACUGGAGUUUUCUCCGUAUUUGCAAUGAUAGGGAGUUGUGAGAAAGAUGGAGCUCUUUUGGGGUUGGGUCAGCUUACCCCACCAGUAUUGAGUAAGGGUUGAAAAAUGACCGCCUCAGAAACACCAGGGAAUGUUAUCCUCCUCCUUAGCCUGUAACACGCUGUGUAGCAGAGUUUAACCUUCUGUAGUAAAAUCUCAGGGUCCCUGAAGAGCUCUGUUAACCUUGAAAAUCUGUGUAGUAUGUUACUUUCUACCUGCAAAGUAGAAAGCACCACUUAUUUGAAGGCAUGAAUGACACUGAGUCUAGUCCAGAGGCAGACUUGAAAGGACAUCCAUCUGCUGUUCAUGGGAAUUUAACUGAGCAGAAACUUCUGAAAUACCAAAACCAGACAGAAUAGCAGAAUUAUUCCCAAAGCGCUGCCUGCCUUCUAAUUGCUGGCCAUCUCCUUUUGUGAAAAGAAGCAAGAGAAAGAGUUCACACAAGCACGAGUGCUUGCAGACUUCUCUUUGGGGGAAAGCAGUUGUCUUUCUUCUCUUGUUUUUGGAUGUUUAAAAUGAGGAAAGCAACAUAUCAGACUGGAGAGAGAGGAAAACCAGUCAAUGUUACCUUGGUAUCUGAUGAUCAAAGGUAUGACCCCCCUCUGCUGUGCCCUGAGAACGGCAGUAACUGUUUCCUGAGGGAACAGCACUUAGUUCAAAGCAGGAAGUGUCCCUUCCCUCCCUGUGUGGCCACACAGACCAGGAGCUGCCUGCCUGCCUGCCUUGGGAGAGCAGGGUAUUUAGCUUUUCCCAAAAGAAAAAGGGCAGCUUAACCAGUUAUCCUCUGCCAAUAGAAAGAAGCAGGGAGAUGAGACUCAGAGAAUGAUUAUUGCCUGGAUAGUGGCAUGACUGGCACCUAUUUCCUUGCAAAGAACCAGUGGGCUACAGUUAUUAAGUAACAGGAAUUUUUAAAAUUUGUGGUCAGCUUUACCACUGGGCUUCCUUUCAUCAUUUGAAAAGUCUGUGAUUUUGUUCUGACUGCUAUAGUUUAAAUGCAGAAAAUAAUAGAAGCUAAGAGAAAAACUUUGUUCUUUGCAUUCAACUACCAUUUUACUGUGUGCAUUUUAACACUCAAAAUGUACUGGCUGCUGGCUGGCAUUUCUAUCGUGUUGUAGUGCCUGGAUUCCUCUCAUGUUUCUAAUGAGGCACAAAGUAUAGAGAACAUAAAUGACAGGAAAAAGCUACAGUUUUUUUAAUGACCAAAAUCAUAUAUAUUUUAAAGCUCUAGCUUAAGGUUACAGCACAACAAAGCAGGCAAUGUCUCUUUCAUCUGCAGUUUACUUGAAAACUAGGACUGAAUUUCAGUCUCCCCAGGUGACAGAAAACAGCAGAGAGUCCCCAGUACAAAGACCCAGUCAUGCACCAUCCAGCACUGUAGAGUUUAUGUGAGCUAUCUUCCAAGAAUAUGGUGAUACCUUUCUUUGUAGGAGUAAAGCAGACAAGGGAAGGACUGUCAGAGAGCCAAAUGACACAAAAGGAAAUGAAGGAACAAUUAAAAUGAGUCAAUACUGUGAAGCUAUUAGGUGAGGGCAUUACAAUAUCUGAUGUGAGAGAUCUUAGUUGGGACACACGUAACAUUUGCCCCCACCUGACCAGGCAAAGGGUUGCACUGACUUUGCUGUUAGAAAUGAUGAACAGCAUUGGCUCAUCUAAGUUCUUAAUAUACAUCACACCUUUUGUAUGAAUUUUUGCACGGAACUCUGGGGCAACUUUCUGAGAUGACAAUUAUUUUUUGUCACCUGCAAAUUGCACUUUUGUGAGGAGCUAUACCGAGGAAAAAAUAGGUGAGAUGUUGUUGGGGCGAGCUGGAGCACCAAGGCUGCACAGCUGAAAAAUGAGAUUUCUGACAAGGAGAAGUGCAGAGAAAAAAAAAAGAGCCAAGUUCAAUUCCUGGUGAUUCUAACAGAUUGGUGAAAUUGCAGGCUGUCAUUGGGAAAAUCCUGUUUCUCAGACAAAAAUGGGCAGAGGACACUAACAUGAAAAUGCCAGUGUGAGUCGGCCUCUGAAUUAUGUUGUUAGGUUUAAGUAGUCUUUACUUGGAUGUCAGCAAAGGGUUAAGACAGUGUUUUUAGCAAUCUCAUGGUUACUGCUUGCAUUACAGUAACAUAACAGGCAUGUUCAGGACCCAUUACACCAACUGCAGUUUGCACAAGCAGUAUACAUUGUGUAUAUAAUGUGUAAGUAUGCAGAUAUAUUUGGCGAACCCCCCCCCCCGAGAACCAUAAAAUCAGUUUGGAGAGAGGAAUGACAAGAAAGGGAAUCAAAAGAACUGGCUCAUAUUCCAUCUGUAGAGUUGCACUUCAGGGG